This is a long non-coding RNA of Ailuropoda melanoleuca (giant panda), 3615 nucleotides long. RefSeq lists it as uncharacterized. The transcript has 3 exons. NCBI's taxonomy places the organism in Eukaryota, Metazoa, Chordata, Mammalia, Carnivora, Ursidae. The record is from RefSeq and is a predicted model, not a curated record.
ACAGUGCGGCCGUUGGUCAAAAGGGCACCCUUCCACUCUUUCAAGAACAUAGUUCCGGCAGGAAGAACAACCUCAUUUCCAGGAAAAUGUCAAGUGACUAUUUUGAAAGGAAAAUGGAAGCAAAUCUUAAUUUUCAGAAAAAAUGAGGAAUUCGGGAUGGAAGUGCCAUAUUCUUCAGAGUAGAUGCUCCAGGCUCAUCUUGAAUAUUCCCUGUCUUGGUCUUGGAGCCAACCACUUCUGCUGAGGAAUCUGGUUUCUUUUGCUGGAGAAUGGUAGCAGAACCCAGUGACAGGCGGCCGAGGUGCUCCCUGUUCCUGAGGUGUCACCGCAUCCAGGCCCCCAGCUGACAGCUCAAGGGGAUGUUUGUGUGUGUACGAAUCUUCAUAUACUCACGCCUCCGCAGGCGUUUCUCUGUGCACAUCUACACGUAUAUGCAGUCAGCAUGCGCUCACACGGGCGGCUCUGCUGUCAUCCACCGCCACAUGGAUCGUUCUCGCCUCCUCCCCUUGCUUACCUGUGACCUCCCACCCCAACCGCGAGCAACCAGGCGUCACCAGCUGCCAUCCACGUGGGUACUUACACAACUCCAGAGAACGUGCACAGUGGCCUCAGGAUGGCUGACCCCAGGCCCAUCUUCAGACAGUGGAUCUGCAGGCUUGGGGCAAUUUCUAAACCACCUCCCUUUCUUGAAGAUGACCUAGAGUCCGUCUGGAUCCUGUUUCUGACCCGGCCACUCAGCCCUCUCUGCCAUCGCAGGCCGGGCGCGGCAGGGCCUCCGGAGGAGCGCCACGUUCCCCGGGCGCGGCGGGCUCUUUGGCUGUCGCUUGACUAUGCUUCAGGAUCAUGGCCACGUCCUUCAAUGACACACCCUCUUCCCUUGGACAUAAGUCCUCCGAAACGCCGCCGGCAUCAGCCCCAUACUCAGUAACCUGGCAGCGGCUCCUGACUUCCUCACUGUGUCUUGACUCUUCUGCGGAGCUCCCAGGCUGGCCCUCCUCAGAUCCAGCCUCCCGGACCAUCUCCCUGGACUGCACAAUCCGCGACACAGCUGGACUUCUCUCUGCUCGCUCCCACGUGCCCUUUCUCCUUCCACCCUCAGCGACGGCGCCCCUUAGGGCCCCUACAGAAAAUCCUGCCCUCCCGGCCCCCCAGAUGCACCUGCCUGUCCUCCAGGCUCAGCUGCAGCCUUCCAGAACCAGCGCUCCUCCCCACAGUGAUUCUUGUCUUCCAGGCUUCUACGGAACCAAGCGGGCACCAAAAGUCUUGGCACUCGAUGAUCCUCUAAUUCGUGAACGCAGUGCCGAGUGAGUGCAGGUGACUGUCGGAAGUUCUGCGGUUGCCUUGGCUCAUGGGCAUCAGUUAGAGGGUGUGCUAGUGGGCAGCGGGGGCUCCGUGGAGGGCGUUACUGGCAUCUCAGUUCCCGUUGCUUAUAUGCCACUUAGUCUCGACUCUCUCAUACAUUAUGAGCCCUCGGUUGGUCAUUCUGUCCUGCACAACUUUCUCCUCCUCUGCGUCUGUCUGACUCAUCAAGCUAAAUGUAGAUUCACUAAUCUGAACUUAAAACUGAAUUCUGAAGUUCAAAUUCAUACGUGUUUUGGGAGCUCGUGAACCAACACCACUGCACACGUUUGAUCAGCUCAGAACGUGAACGUGCCUGUGUCGGGUGGAAGCUUAUGGAUAGCGACGCGGGUGACCUGAUGGCAGGUCGUUGAGCUGUUUCCCAUUCUGGUCUCUGUACACUCUGCUGUAGAAACCUUCCUCUUGUGCCGGAUCACAGUUUAUUAUCAGCCUUCUAGCCAAUUUUCUUUAAAAUCACAAAAUAAAUCAAGAGGGAAUGAGCAUGUGCAGUUGAUUCUUUGAAGACAUGAUUUGAGUCCUCCUGAUAAUAUAUGAAUUGAAGUUGUCCUUUGUGCAUUGGACUAAAUCCAGCAGCAUCAGUGGUCAAGGACAUUUGAUUAUUUUUAUAUAGUAGAAUAAAACGGAACUGAUUGCAUACUUUAUUUAAAGAAAGAUUUUACUGAGGAGAAAAGUAAUAAUCCAACAUAUUCUUAAAGCCUUGACUAGACUUCUCUUGUGGUUGGUGAGAAUGCAAUUCAUGAUGAUGUGUUAAAUAUUAAAACCAAUAUUUGAUUUAAUCCAAACUUAUAGGACAGCUUUGCUUAAUCUACUGCCUGUCACACAAUUUCCUUUCCAGGUAACUUUCAGCUCACUGCAUCAGUAACAGUGCCCACGUCCUUCUGCUGUCUCAGCGAGCCUGGUAUCGCAGUUGAACUGUCCAACACUGGAUUCCUGCAGCUUGGGUCCCUCUCUCUUUUCCUCUUCUUCCCUUCACCUGGGCUACCUUGUCAUUCCAUCAUGACUCCGUGAGUUCAAGUGUGGAAGCUGGAGGCAUUUUUCAAGAGUCAGCAUCUGGGUUUGCCUUGACCUUGAACGCUUUCUUGGUGAUGAAAGGAUAAGUUCUUGCCAAGGGCACGUUCCUUCCAAGGAACAGCAUCAGAGAAGGAAGAAGCUAGCCCCUUCCUCUCACCUCUUCAAGAUUCUCAUCUUCAGUAACGAAUGGUGUGGCUACUAAAUUCAGUUUCCUUUCGGAUUUCCCUGUAGUGGAUCCAUCCAUCAUGUUCCCGGUCUGCAGCAUUUACUGAGCACCUACUGCAUGCAGGCCCUGAGACACACCCUGCAGAUUUCGGGGAAGAGUGCGGCCCUGCAGUCUUGCUGCUGACAAGCCUUCGGGGAACCAGAAUCGAAUGGGUAACGGCGCAUUUGGUGAGCGUUCCCAGAGAGGGAACUACAGUGGGGCCUCCAGCUCCAGGUAAACCUAGCCAGAUCCCUAAGGGGAAGAGGGCACAGGACCAGUAAGAGGGUCCUCAAGAGGUGGACAGGGCAUGGGGGCAGCCCUGAGUGAGAGCAUGCUGUGCCCUGCGAGAAUGAAAGGAGCCAGUCUGACCCGGGCCCUGCCCAGAGUGUGCAAGGGGGAGGGUCCCAGCAGCGCUUUGGCCAACCUGAGGACUGUCGGAGAGGCCAGGCUAGACCCCUCCGGUGCAGCAGGAAGGGGAGCAAGAGAAGGGUGCAGGGCCCACAGGAGUGAAGCAAAGGGAAGAAGGGCCGGGGGCAGGCUGAACUCCUCCUGGAGCCGGAGGAGAGGCGAGGCUCAGCCCAUCCCAGCAGCCAGCCCCUCCCUCAAGUCUGUGCUGGCAGUAGUCGGUGCCUGAGGCCCACAUAGCUCCGGGUCCCUCCUCCAUCUGCUCGUCCUGCCCCUCUACCCUGACCGCGUCUCCACUGCUGUUCCCUCCAGAAGCAGAAGGGACUUGCCGGGCUCAGGACGCUGACUACAGGAUCGGAGGCCGAUGAGGGACUGGCUCCCUUCCAGGAGCCUGAAAAUACCACUUGUUUUUGUUUUGGUUUGGUCUGGUUCCUGUUUUUCCUCCCUUUAGGGAAGCAGUGCUGUUCUGGGAACCCCCUCUUUCUUUUUCCAGCGAACUAGAGCAUGAGGAAUGCAGGCACAGCCUCUGGGGCCAACAGUUGGCCCUGACUCAGCUUUGCCACUUACUAGUGGUAACGUGGGAGGGACUCAAGCCUCGGUUUCCCAUCCAGACAGUUUGGGGGUCACAGUGAUUU